GUACUGGUGGUCCAGUGGUAGAAUUCUUGCCUUCCGUGCAAGAGACCCAGGUUUAAUUCCCAGCCAGUGCA
Molecule: transfer RNA, 71 nt
Filed under: Loxodonta africana (African savanna elephant)
Lineage: Eukaryota; Metazoa; Chordata; Mammalia; Proboscidea; Elephantidae
Rfam family: tRNA
About the family: Transfer RNA (tRNA) molecules are approximately 80 nucleotides in length. Their secondary structure includes four short double-helical elements and three loops (D, anti-codon, and T loops).
Source: Rfam by way of RNAcentral